AGUUUCCUUUCCCUCUCGUACCGCCGCCAUUUCCCCUCUCCCUUCUCUGUUUCUUUCCCACGAAGAACAACAAACGAGAAACCCCUGUACACCACCGCACUUUCCCCUCCUUGGCACCGUCGAACCAGGUCACCCCUCGCCGAGCUGAGACCACCGGCGGAUGCGCCUCGUCGUCCUCUCCAUCCUCAUGCGAGGAAUCGAACCGAAACCUCUCCAAUCGGCCACAAAAUCGCCGAUUCCGUCCUCUUGCUGCCGGCGUCUUCUUCAAAAUCCGGCACCGUUCGACCUCCCCUAGCCCAUCCGAGCUCACCAACGCGUUCCUGGUGAGAAACCGCGUCUCCCAGACCAAAAUUGCUCUUCCCGUUUCUUCUCAUGGACGCGCCGCCGGUGUUGACCGCCGUUCUUCUCCACACGUACAUGUCGCCGGCGAUGCCCCGGCGAAUCUCCGGCCGUCCUCCUACCCGUCGUUGAUCCGUCGCGCCAAGGCGCAGCUCUGACACCAGCCGCCUCAUCUCGGUUCGAACUUCCCCAUCGUCCCCGUGCUCGUCUGCAAGCUCCGCCAUGGAUGUUUUGGCCCCUGAGCUCCGAUUCGACUUGGUUAAGUUACGCCGCGCCCUCCUCUUAACACAAUCUGUAUUAGCAGCGCAAUGAUCCGGCGCCCGACGGGCCUCGGCCCAGAUCUUCCCGGCACAGUUCGUUGCCCCGCGCGCCCAGCUCCAAUCCACCGCCUCUUCCGCCAGCAUUUGCUUCUUCCCGGAUAGGAUCGCGAAGUGGUGUGGUGAGAUACGACGAGUUCUCCGGAUGUUCCUCGGCAAGCUUUAA
This is a long non-coding RNA of Lolium perenne, 822 nucleotides long. RefSeq lists it as uncharacterized. Lineage: Eukaryota; Viridiplantae; Streptophyta; Magnoliopsida; Poales; Poaceae. The record is from RefSeq and is a predicted model, not a curated record.